CCAGUAACGGCGAGUGAAGCGGCAACAGCUCAAAUUUGAAAUCUGGCCCCCAGGGCCCGAGUUGUAAUUUGCAGAGGAUGCUUUUGGCGCGGUGCCUUCCGAGUUCCCUGGAACGGGACGCCAUAGAGGGUGAGAGCCCCGUCUGGUCGGACACCAAGCCAGUGUAAAGCUCCUUCGACGAGUCGAGUAGUUUGGGAAUGCUGCUCUAAAUGGGAGGUAUAUGUCUUCUAAAGCUAAAUACCGGCCAGAGACCGAUAGCGCACAAGUAGAGUGAUCGAAAGAUGAAAAGCACUUUGAAAAGAGGGUUAAACAGUACGUGAAAUUGUUGAAAGGGAAGCGUUUAUGACCAGACUUGGGCCCGGUGAAUCAUCCAGCGUUCUCGCUGGUGCACUUCGCCGGGCCCAGGCCAGCAUCAGUUCGCCGCGGGGGACAAAAGCUUCGGGAACGUGGCUCCCUCGGGAGUGUUAUAGCCCGUUGCAUAAUACCCUGUGGCGGACUGAGGUUCGCGCUCCGCAAGGAUGCUGGCGUAAUGGUCAUCAGCGACCCGUCUUGAAACACGGACCAAGGAGUCGUCUUCGUAUGCGAGUGUUCGGGUGUCAAACCCCUACGCGUAAUGAAAGUGAACGCAGGUGAGAGCUUCGGCGCAUCAUCGACCGAUCCUGAUGUUCUCGGAUGGAUUUGAGUAAGAGCAUACGGGGCCGGACCCGAAAGAAGGUGAACUAUGCCUGUAUAGGGUGAAGCCAGAGGAAACUCUGGUGGAGGCUCGCAGCGGUUCUGACGUGCAAAUCGAUCGUCAAAUAUGGGCAUGGGGGCGAAAGACUAAUCGAACCUUCUAGUAGCUGGUUUCCGCCGAAGUUUCCCUCAGGAUAGCAGUGUUGAACUCAGUUUUAUGAGGUAAAGCGAAUGAUUAGGGACCCGGGGGCGCUCUUUAGCCUUCAUCCAUUCUCAAACUUUAAAUAUGUAAGAAGCCCUUGUUGCUUAAUUGAACGUGGGCAUUCGAAUGUAUCAACACUAGUGGGCCAUUUUUGGU
RNAcentral lists this ribosomal RNA (1030 nucleotides) under Clavicipitaceae sp. DIS 216a. RNAcentral's name for it is "LSU rRNA". It matches the Rfam family "Eukaryotic large subunit ribosomal RNA", at positions 80 to 1141 of the family's 3401-position model. Lineage: Eukaryota; Fungi; Ascomycota; Sordariomycetes; Hypocreales; Clavicipitaceae. The record is from RNAcentral.